This 3124-nucleotide long non-coding RNA is filed under the name Homo sapiens (human). RNAcentral's name for it is "HSALNT0287326". Lineage: Eukaryota; Metazoa; Chordata; Mammalia; Primates; Hominidae. The record is from RNAcentral.
GAUGGGUUUGCACAGGGGAAUCAGCUCUAUACCCUGGUGUAUAUGUGGGACUCUGUCCAAAUCUAGAAAUGCCAGGCUUCUGAAACCCAGCAGACAGGACCUGCAUGGUGCCUUGGGGACAGUCAGGUGCCUUGGAGACAGCCCUAUGGGCAAUGGUGGAGAGAAGGAGGGCACGGCAAACUCGCACUUACCGGGCAAGGCUGCACACACUGGCAGUGCUCUUCUAGCUACCUGUGGCUGGGGGUGCAAGGGAGCAGGGCUCAAGAGUGGCCCAGCUGCAUUGCAUGUAGGUGCAUUCUGUGCCUGUGCUUGGAGCUCUGCUCUAGUGAGGCACUGACAGCAGCCCCACAGGGAAGUUUGUUGGGUUGUUUCUUAGCAGCACUAUGGUGGGCAUGGAGGCAGAUUGGUCCUGCACAUAGACCUCUGCUCCAUUAAGACACAGCCUGUGCCCUGGUAGAGGCCCACUGAGCCCAGAUUCAGCUCCUUGCUGAGAUGGGCUCAAAGUAGACAUGGGCUGAGCCUCCAGCUAGUGCUGUGCCUCAGGUGAAAUCAGCCAGCAAACUCUUGCGUCAUCUACUUCUGCUCCGCCAACCCAGGCUGUUUCCUUGAGUUGCUGUACUCAGUCAAUGUGUAGGUUCAGCCUGCAUCUGGUCCUUGGAUCAGGUGGAAGCAGCCAGCAACCCCUUGCAGCAACUCUUUCUGUUUCACUCACCAGACUGCAGUUCCAUGAGGAGCUUCACUUGGUGUGGACACAUGAUGACUCUCUGCAAAGAUCCCCAGUUAGGUGCAACCAGUUUUCUCCUGCAGUGGCUAGUUCUCCACUUCUCUGGGUGCUGGCUGUAGAGGCAGGCAACACUGGCAGGUAGAGCCCCAGUUCUUCAAUAAACAGUUUGAAUCUACUUGCAAAGCAUUACUCCAUGCUGGUCCAGUGAGGCGCUCCACUCCAUGUAGACACAGGCUGCGUAUCCACUAGCAGUCCUGGCUCAUCCCUGUACUGGCUGUAAUUAGGCACAGAGGGCAUUUCUGAGCUGAUCCAGGUGGUGGUGCCUGCUGGAGCCAUGCACACUGUAGAUGUGGGCUGCAUCUCCACAGGAUAGCCUGAUGCAUUUCCACAGACAGGGGCUUGUCCUGUGUGGAUACAGGUGGAAGUUCCUUGAGAAGCCUCAUUUUGUGUGCAAGCUAUGUGGUUCUGUGUAGACGCUGCCUGGUUAUCUGCAGAUGCAAACUCAAUCUCAGUAAACAUAGCCUCCUUCUGUGCUUACACAGCCUUCUUGGUGACAGAUAAAACCUCAUCUUGGGUAGACACAGCGUCAUUUUGGGCAGGUGCAGCUUCAUCUUGGGAAUGUCCCACCUUGUCCUGGGCAGCCAUAGUUUGGUUCUGUGCAGACACAGCCUGUGAUGACACACAGAGUUUUUGCUCAUGUAGACACAGUUUAUGGCCUGUUGCAGGGCAGCUGUUGACACAGCCAACAUCCUCUUGUGGAGUCUGUGCUGUGUAGAUGAGGCUUGAGCUUGCUUACUGAACUGUGUUCUUUGUAGAGACAGUUUGUAUCUGGGUAUAAAGUCACCUCCUGUGUGGCCAUGGCCUGCAGAAGCCUGCCGAGGCUCAUCUUGUUUAGAUGUUGUCUGCACCUUUCCACUGAGCCUCCUUGCACAGAUAUGCCUGCAUUGCCUUAUGAAAUUUCACUUGGUCCUGACCUAGCCAGCACCACCAUGCAGAGCUGUGCACCACAUGGAUCCAUGGGGGGUCUUGAAGAGCCACAUUCAUGACUAAUGCAACCUCUGCCUCCAGGGAACUGCCAUCAUUUUUCUGCAGAGCUGUGAUCCACACAGUGGCAGUGUGCAUCACUGGGAAGACCCACAGUCCUCAUGUUGGUGCUGCCCGCAUCUCCUGGCUGGGUGCUAUCCUCCACUUUUACCGUCUGCCUCUUGUGGCAGAUCGGGGCUCUGUAUGUGCAGUUGGCUUCUGCCUGCAGGGCUGGACUUGACAGACACAGCAAGCAUCUCUUUGCAGUUUUGUCCUAUGGAAACACAGCCCUGUUUUCCUUGGGAAGUUUUGUCUUGCAUGGAUGUUGUCUGUAUCUCUUUAGGGAGCCAGAUUCCACGUAGAUGCAGCCCACAUCCACUAGAAGAGCCUCAUAUCAUGUAGAUGCAGCCUUCAUCCCCACAUAGAGGCAUCCCCACACAUUCUUGUGGAGUGGAGCUACCUGUGGAUCCAGAUUGCCUCUGACCACCUGCCUUGUGUGCUGCCCCAGGUUACUCGGGUGGCCCAGUCCCUACAGCUAUGGCUCCCCCACACCGUGCUGCUUUCUUUGCUGUGAUAUCUGCUCAGGCAGCAGUGAUUUCAGCUCCGCCCUAGGACCCAAGUUCCUGCUUGGGGCCCCGGCCCCCUUGGAACCCCAGCUGGUGCCAGCACAGCCUGCCUCCAUCUCCUGAUGGAGCAGGAGGAACCCAGAGAAGUCAGCAGUGUGGUGCUAGAAGAUGGAGCCCAGCUUGCAGGAGGCCCAGAGAGCUGGCACUGGGGAGACCACACCUUCAUGGAUCUGUGAUCCCUUCACUGCCAAAUCCUCAGCCUGUCACACCAAGAAGAUACUGGCCUUCUGGCAGAUAAAGUGGAAGGUGAACUCAGAGCAGCCCUAUCACAGUGGCCAGCUUCAUCCCAGGCUCAGAAUCCAAGAGCAUCCUUCACUGGCUCCCUGGUCCUAGCCGCCAGCUCUGGGAGGAGUCAGGGCCCAAGUCACUGGGCCCAGGUCAAGGCAGAGGAGCUGAAGCCCAGAGAGGGAAAGAAAGUGAAGGGUGCAGGUUGGCAGCAACCUUGUGUGUUGAAACAGAAUUCCUGGGGAGGGAAGCAAAACAACAUUUUCCUACCUCCGUGGCUCCCUGAGGAACAGUGGCAGCCCAAAGAUGGGACUCCUCCCUCUGUUCACAUUAGCCAGCCCUCAGCAUACCAUGAUGCAUCUGUGCAAUUGCCAUACUUAUAAAGCAUCUUUCUCAUCAAUGAACAUGUGCCAGAAGGGAUUUAUUGCCCCCCUUUUUCUCUAUCAGUCAGAUAUUUACUAUCUCUGUCCUUGUGUGAAAAUAUUCUCAGAAGUGCCAUGAGAACAUUUCCUAUUGUGAGAUUGCC